Molecule: ribosomal RNA, 279 nt
Filed under: uncultured bacterium
Lineage: Bacteria
Description: partial 16S ribosomal RNA
Rfam family: Bacterial small subunit ribosomal RNA
Source: RNAcentral
UGCCAGCCGCCGCGGUAAUACGGAGGGUGCAAGCGUUGCUCGGAAUUACUGGGCGUAAAGCGCACGCAGGCGGUUCAGCAAGUCGGAUGUGAAAUCCCAGGGCUCAACCCUGGAACUGCAUCCGAAACUGCUGGACUUGAGUACGAGAGAGGGUGGCGGAAUUUAUGGUGUAGCGGUGAAAUGCAUAGAUACCAUAAAGAACACCGAUAGCGAAGGCAGCUUACUAGGCUGAGACUGACGCUGAGGCACGAAAGCGUGGGGAGCGAACAGGAUUAGAUA